This 148-nucleotide small RNA is filed under the name Callithrix jacchus (white-tufted-ear marmoset). RNAcentral describes it as "Metazoan signal recognition particle RNA (ENSCJAG00000073074.1)". Lineage: Eukaryota; Metazoa; Chordata; Mammalia; Primates; Cebidae. The record is from Rfam by way of RNAcentral.
GCUGGGUAUGGUGGUGUACACCUGUAGUCCUAGCAACUUAGGAAGCUGAGACAGGAGGAUUGCUUGCGCUCAGGAGGUCCAGGUCACAAUGACCUAUGAUUGCACCACUGUGCUCCAGCCUGAGCAACAGAGCAAGACCCUGUCUCUU